UACAGAGGUGGCAAGCGUUGUUCGGAAUUACUGGGCGUAAAGCGUGCGCAGGCGGUUUUGUAAGCCAGAUGUGAAAUCCCCGGGCUUAACCUGGGAAUGGCAUUUGGGACUGCAAGGCUGGAGUGUGGCAGAGGAGACUGGAAUUCCUGGUGUAGCAGUGAAAUGCGCAGAUAUCAGGAGGAACACCGGUGGCGAAGGCGGGUCUCUGGGCCGAUACUGACGCUGAGGAGCGAAAGCGUGGGGAGCGAACAGG
This 253-nucleotide ribosomal RNA is filed under the name uncultured bacterium. Its description in RNAcentral is "partial 16S ribosomal RNA". It matches the Rfam family "Bacterial small subunit ribosomal RNA", at positions 524 to 776 of the family's 1533-position model. The record is from RNAcentral.